AAAUGACCAGGCUGUGACAUGUCACCCCAUUGAUCAGCAGGGUUGAUUCGGCUGAUCUGGCUAGCUAGGCAUGGGUGUCUCUCUCCCGAAGCUGUCCGGGUUUAACCAGUUUUUCUGUCAAGGGGUAUACAAGUAAUUGCUUGCCUGCUAGAGCCUCCAAACAAAGCUCUCAAGAUCCAUUUGUAGGAGAACUGGAUAUCAAGCUUCCAAGACUCCAGACACAUCCAAAUGAGGCAAUCAAUGCCUUUCUUU
Myotis lucifugus (little brown bat) is the source of this 252-nucleotide unclassified non-coding RNA. Its record names the gene 7SK. It matches the Rfam family "7SK RNA". From Rfam's summary of the family: 7SK was discovered as an abundant small nuclear RNA in the mid-70s but a possible function has only recently been suggested. Two independent studies have found that 7SK RNA binds the CDK9/cyclin T complex (known as elongation factor P-TEFb). NCBI's taxonomy places the organism in Eukaryota, Metazoa, Chordata, Mammalia, Chiroptera, Vespertilionidae. The record is from Ensembl.